Oncorhynchus mykiss (rainbow trout) is the source of this 126-nucleotide small nucleolar RNA. Ensembl annotates it as small nucleolar RNA, H/ACA box 65. Its record names the gene SNORA65. The record is from Ensembl. NCBI's taxonomy places the organism in Eukaryota, Metazoa, Chordata, Actinopteri, Salmoniformes, Salmonidae.
CCCGCCACUUUGCCAGUCUGUCUGAGUGACUGAGUGUAGUCCAGUGGAGGCAGAGAUGGACCCAGUUCUAGGAAACAGGGCUGCCCUGGUGGUGGGCAACUUUGUGCCGAAAGUCCUGGAACAAUG